This 253-nucleotide ribosomal RNA is filed under the name uncultured bacterium. RNAcentral's name for it is "partial 16S ribosomal RNA". It matches the Rfam family "Bacterial small subunit ribosomal RNA", at positions 524 to 776 of the family's 1533-position model. The record is from RNAcentral.
UACAGGGGGUGCAAACGUUGCUCGGAAUUAUUGGGCGUAAAGAGCGCGCAGGCGGUCGAUCAAGUCGAGUGUGAAAGCCCCCGGCUCAACUGGGGAGGGUCAUUCGAUACUGAUCGACUCGAAGGCAGGAGAGGGUAGUGGAAUUCCCGGUGUAGUGGUGAAAUGCGUAGAUAUCGGGAGGAACACCAGUGGCGAAGGCGACUACCUGGCCUGUUCUUGACGCUGAGGCGCGAAAGCUAGGGGAGCAAACGGG